CUCAUCACUAUUACCAAAAUAUUUAUCAUCAAGUAGAUUCAUCAAGUGUAUAAGCACACGUAAGCAAGAUGUGCAAUUAGAGCAUAUAUCAUUUAUUUACAACCAUCGACAAAAUCCACCAAUGUACAUAUACACAAUCCACAUAAAUCACAUCAUUCAACAAUUUCACCAAUGCACAAAUUCAUCAAGUCACAUAUUCAAUUAUGACAUAAUUCAUCAACCAAUCAAUU
RNAcentral lists this long non-coding RNA (230 nucleotides) under Medicago truncatula (barrel medic). RNAcentral describes it as "long non-coding RNA (MTRU_LNC002769)". The record is from RNAcentral. Lineage: Eukaryota; Viridiplantae; Streptophyta; Magnoliopsida; Fabales; Fabaceae.